AAAAACAUAGAAAAUCUGGGAACAAAAAAAGGGAAUAGAGAGCAAAGGGGGCUGAUGCAAAACAAACAGAGAGGAAGGCUAGCGGAAGAACAGAGCAAGGUAGGAGCAAAAAUGAGAAAAGCAGAGCAAUGGGCUUCGGGCGGCUUCGGGCUGAAACGGAUGAAGCUAAAAACAGAAAAAGAGAAAGGCAGCAGGAGGCGGCGCCCUUGGCUUCCCUUCA
Molecule: long non-coding RNA, 220 nt
Filed under: Coffea arabica (coffee)
Lineage: Eukaryota; Viridiplantae; Streptophyta; Magnoliopsida; Gentianales; Rubiaceae
Description: long non-coding RNA (CARA_LNC007665)
Source: RNAcentral